This 549-nucleotide ribosomal RNA is filed under the name uncultured bacterium. RNAcentral describes it as "bacterial SSU rRNA". It matches the Rfam family "Bacterial small subunit ribosomal RNA", at positions 108 to 689 of the family's 1533-position model. The record is from RNAcentral.
GAGUAACACGUGAAUGAUCUACCUCCGAGUGGGGAAUAACCUAGAGAAAUCUGGGCUAAUACCGCAUAACACUUACGAGUCAAAGCAGCAAUGCGCUUGGAGAGGAGUUCGCGGCCGAUUAGUUAGUUGGCGGGGUAAUGGCCCACCAAGACGAUGAUCGGUAUCCGGCCUGAGAGGGCGCACGGACACACUGGAACUGAAACACGGUCCAGACUCCUACGGGAGGCAGCAGUGGGGAAUUUUGCGCAAUGGGGGAAACCCUGACGCAGCAACGCCGCGUGGAGGAUGAAAUCCCUUGGGAUGUAAACUCCUUUCGAUCGGGACGAUUAUGACGGUACCGGAAGAAGAAGCCCCGGCUAACUUCGUGCCAGCAGCCGCGGUAAUACGAGGGGGGCAAGCGUUGUUCGGAAUUAUUGGGCGUAAAGGGCGCGUAGGCGGUUUGACAAGUCUGAUGUGAAAUCUCUGGGCUCAACUCAGAGUCUGCAUUAGAAACUGUCGGGCUUGAGUAUGGGAGAGGUGCGUGGAAUUUCCGGUGUAGCGGUAAAAUGC